Molecule: ribosomal RNA, 250 nt
Filed under: uncultured bacterium
Lineage: Bacteria
Description: partial 16S ribosomal RNA
Rfam family: Bacterial small subunit ribosomal RNA
Source: RNAcentral
UACGGAGGGUGCAAGCGUUGUUCGGAAUUACUGGGCGUAAAGCGCACGUAGGCGGGCGCGUAAGUCAAUUGUGAAAUCCCAGGGCUUAACCUUGGAAUUGCAGUUGAAACUGCGUGUCUUGAAUGCUUGAGAGGGUGACGGAAUUCCUGGUGUAGAAGUGAAAUUCGUAGAUAUCAGGAGGAACACCGGAGGCGAAAGCGGUUGCCUGGCGAUGCAUUGACGCUAAGGUGCGAAAGCGUGGGUAGCAAAC